GUGGGGACCAGGCUGAAUCGA
Molecule: unclassified non-coding RNA, 21 nt
Filed under: Mus musculus (house mouse)
Lineage: Eukaryota; Metazoa; Chordata; Mammalia; Rodentia; Muridae
Description: oocyte_clustered_small_RNA12013
Source: RNAcentral